AUAGAUGCUUUCCAUGCCAACUACUACGCGCUCUCUCUGUUUUGCAUGCUAGUCAUACUCCACAUUGAUGGAUUUCCAGAAUUGGAAAUGACUGUUUCGAGGCUCGUAGCCUUCUAUAAACAAAAGGCGCUGUACUUUUACCCUGCUUGGGCUUAUGCAAUUCCAGCAUGUAUACUGAAACUUCCCCUUUCACUGCUGAAGUCUGUGGUUUGGACAUCACUUACAUAUCAUGCGAUUAAAUACCGUCCUAGCGUUGGCAGGUUCCUCUGCUGAUUACUACUUUACUCUAUGCACUUUCCUCAAAUUCAUGUUCCAUUUUCUGGCCUCAAUUUUUCAAACUGUGGCUGCUUCCGUCACAGCUGGUACUGUUGCAUUACUAAUCUUGUUGAUGGUUUUGUCGUUCCAAAACCCUCUAUGCCUGCUUGGUUGAAGUGUGGUUUCUGGGUCUCUCCACCAACGUACAGAGAAAUCGGACUUUCUGCCAAUGAAUUUCAUGCCCCACGAUGGCAAAGGGGAGGGCCUUGCAGAGUACCUCCAAAUACAAGAAGCCACUUUAGUUGCAGAAGUACUCAACCCAUUUUAUUCUAGAAAAGUAUAUCGAUAUGCUGGUGCUGUUGGUUAGCUAAACUAACUUGGGUACUAAGUCAUUAGGAUACUUUGAUUGCAUUUAUAACUUGUGGAAAGUAGAAAGUUUCAAUUAAAUUCGAGUAAAUUUUAAGUACUCUUAUACAAGACUAAGUAGUCUCUUGGUACUAAAUCAUGCACAUGCGUUUUGGCUAAUGCUUGCUGUGACCAACUGUUGCCUCGGGAUAUUAUACAGAUUUAAUGUGGUGGAUCAGGGAAAU
Eucalyptus grandis is the source of this 845-nucleotide long non-coding RNA. RefSeq lists it as uncharacterized. The record is from RefSeq and is a predicted model, not a curated record. NCBI's taxonomy places the organism in Eukaryota, Viridiplantae, Streptophyta, Magnoliopsida, Myrtales, Myrtaceae. The transcript is spliced from 3 exons.